ACUAAAGACCGCUUUCUAAUCCAUUGAUCUUCGGAUUAAUAUUCUUGACAUCUGGCCUCAAAUCAGGUAGGACUACCCGCUGAACUUAAGCAUAUCAAUAAGCGGAGGAAAAGAAACUAACAAGGAUUCCCCUAGUAACGGCGAGUGAAGCGGGAAGAGCUCAAAUUUGAAAUCUAGUAGCCUUCGGCUGCUCGAGUUGUAAUCUAGAGAAGUGUUUUCCGUGCCGGCCCAUGUACAAGUCCCUUGGAACAGGGCGUCAUAGAGGGUGAGAAUCCCGUCCUUGACAUGGACCCCCGGUGCUCUGUGAUACACUUUCAACGAGUCGAGUUGUUUGGGAAUGCAGCUCAAAAUGGGUGGUGAAUUCCAUCUAAAGCUAAAUAUUGGCGAGAGACCGAUAGCGAACAAGUACCGUGAGGGAAAGAUGAAAAGCACUUUGGAAAGAGAGUUAAACAGUACGUGAAAUUGUUGAAAGGGAAACGAUUGAAGUCAGUCAUGCUCUUUGGUAUUUAUAUCAUUGAGUGGGGUCAACAUCAGUUUUGAGCGAUGGAUAAAGGCACUAGGAAGGUAGCACUCUCGGGUGAACUUAUAGCCUAGCGUCAUAUACAUUGUUUGGGACUGAGGAACGCA
Molecule: ribosomal RNA, 627 nt
Filed under: Naganishia diffluens
Lineage: Eukaryota; Fungi; Basidiomycota; Tremellomycetes; Filobasidiales; Filobasidiaceae
Description: eukaryotic LSU rRNA
Rfam family: Eukaryotic large subunit ribosomal RNA
Source: RNAcentral